RNAcentral lists this long non-coding RNA (1199 nucleotides) under Citrus sinensis (sweet orange). Its description in RNAcentral is "long non-coding RNA (CSIN_LNC002683)". Lineage: Eukaryota; Viridiplantae; Streptophyta; Magnoliopsida; Sapindales; Rutaceae. The record is from RNAcentral.
UAUGGAGGUUAUGCUUCGCAGCCGUGGGAGAGACAUGGUGAUUUCUAUGGAGACAUGAAGUCUUUUCUUUUUCAGCUCUAUCCAAAGUUAGCUAUUUACAGGCCUACUGGAGCAAACAGUAAUCUACAAUGGGUAUAUGUCUACUUGUUCUCAUAGAUGAUGGAAAAGCUUAAAUUUAAAUUGUGUGUUUAUAGGACUUGCAGUUUAUAGUGGCUUUACUUUUGAUGUUGUUCAAUAGUAUAGUCCAUCCAGUAGUUGAAAUGAAGCUUUGCUGGCAUCGAUUCACUAGAUAAGAUUCAUUGUCUUUUAGUAAUGGUGCACUAUUUGGAUGAGACUUUUGGCAACAUAGCGAUCUCAUUUACCUAGGAAGAAAUUCUGCAUGUUUGGAAAAAUGUUAUUAUUCAGCCGCUUUACAUUGUCUAGCAUUUGUUGUGAAAAAAAUCAACUGGUUAAAGGGCUUUGCAGUCGGUAAUGUAAAUCUGCAGCAACUCAUUCAUUAGAAAUAUACAUGACUGGGUCAAAUAUCUUUAGUUUCAGAUACUUCGCUGAAACUUGUGUGUCACAGGAACACUUUAUAUUAUUUUUUGCUAGGAUUGUUACUAGUUUUGUCAGAAAUAAGAGUCUGCCUUUCCAACUAAUGGGUUCUUAAGUAUUGUAAAACGUCCUUCCCACUGAAAACAAACUCCACUUCAAGAAAUUGAGGCUUCUAUAAAUUAUACCACCAAACACAGGUAAUAUGAGGAGAACUUGUGAAGAUAGGUCAGUUAUCUCUAAUAUUAUUGGAGAGCUAGAUGGUUUUGCCACUUUCUUCUUUCCACAUUUUGACGUCCAUUACUGAAUGUUCUUAAGCGAAUUUUUGGUAGAUCUAGUUUUCUAAUAGUGAAUUUUUCACAUUACAAAAGCCCCAUUUUAAAGAACUGGUCCAGGAACAUUUCAUUGUCAACUCUUAAAUGAGUUAUUAAAUGCAAGGCCUUAUUUUAUUUUAUUAGUGAAAACACACUCGUUUAACAUUUUGUUCUUUGGUUGUGUAAUGAAAUUGCUUAGUCAAGUUUGCACAUAUGCAGCUGACUUUGCUGUGUGUUCCCAAUUAUUUAUGUUGCUAUCAACCUUGUAUGGUAAGUGUGCAGCAAAUUUCAGUUCAGAGAGCAUCCCAAAUGGCAUUGGUUUUGGUGGACGUGUUAAUCACUUUGGUCUUUUCC